CGCCCUCUUCUCACCUAAGACCUUGCAGAGACCUGUCCCCAAGGAAGCUGGACUUGGUCUGCCACUCACUGCUGUUAUAGAAGAAGGACGGAGAGGAGCCCACUAGAAACUUAUUUUCCCUGUGUUGCAAAGAAGAAGUCACGGGGUCGCCGGUAAGUGAGUGCAGCUGAUGCACGCCGCCCGCCUCGGCGCCAGCUCCUGCGCUCCUCAUUUCCAGUCCUAAGGACGACUCGGCGCCUUGGCUAUUUAUUGCCAUCCCCAGCCUUACCCCUGAGGACGCCAAAGCAG
This 288-nucleotide long non-coding RNA is filed under the name Sus scrofa (pig). Its description in RNAcentral is "lncRNA (ENSSSCG00070005961.1)". The record is from RNAcentral. Lineage: Eukaryota; Metazoa; Chordata; Mammalia; Artiodactyla; Suidae.